This 606-nucleotide unclassified non-coding RNA is filed under the name uncultured Frankia sp. RNAcentral describes it as "bacterial SSU rRNA". The stretch from base 1 to 451 matches the Rfam family "Bacterial small subunit ribosomal RNA", at positions 1085 to 1533 of the family's 1533-position model. Lineage: Bacteria; Bacillati; Actinomycetota; Actinomycetes; Frankiales; Frankiaceae. The record is from RNAcentral.
UCCCGCAACGAGCGCAACCCUCGUCCUAUGUUGCCAGCGAGUUAUGUCGGGGACUCAUAGGAGACUGCCGGGGUCAACUCGGAGGAAGGUGGGGAUGACGUCAAGUCAUCAUGCCCCUUACGUCUUGGGCUGCACACAUGCUACAAUGGCCGGUACAAAGGGCUGCGAUACCGCGAGGUGGAGCGAAUCCCAAAAAGCCGGUCUCAGUUCGGAUCGGGGUCUGCAACUCGACCCCGUGAAGUCGGAGUCGCUAGUAAUCGCAGAUCAGCAAUGCUGCGGUGAAUACGUUCCCGGGCCUUGUACACACCGCCCGUCACGUCGCGAAAGUCGGUAACACCCGAAGCCGGUGGCCUAACCCUUGUGGGAGGAGCCGUCGAAGGUGGGACCGGCGAUUGGGGCGAAGUCGUAACAAGGUAGCCGUACCGGAAGGUGCGGCUGGAUCACCUCCUUUCUAAGGAGCGUCUGGCUGUUCGUGGUCUCGUCUCCUCCUGGGGGGCGGGUGCGGGCGGUCCAGGGCCAGGGCCGGGCGAGUGUCCCGGUCUGGUUGCUCAGAGGCGUGGAACACUGACGUUGCGGUCCGCCGGUUCUGUCCGGCUCCUAGUACAG